GAGCGUUGUCCGGAUUUAUUGGGCGUAAAGAGCUCGUAGGCGGUUCAACAAGUCGGUCGUAAAAGUUCAGGGCUCAACCCUGAAAUGUCGAUCGAUACUGUUGUGACUAGGAUACGGUAGAGGUGAGUGGAAUUCCGAGUGUAGCGGUGAAAUGCGUAGAUAUUCGGAGGAACACCAAUUGCGAAGGCAGCUCACUGGACCGCUAUCGACGCUGAGGAGCGAAAGCUAGGGGAGCAAACAGGAUUAGAUACCCCGGUAGUCCAUGCAGUAAACGAUGGGUGCUAGUCGUCGGACUUUUGUUCGGUGUCGUAGCUAACGCGUUAAGCACCCCGCCUGGGGAGUACGGUCGCAAGAUUAAAACUCAAAUAAAUUGACGGGGACCCGCACAAGCAGUGGAGCAUGUGGUUUAAUUCGACGCAACGCGAAGAACCUUACCAGCGUUUGACAUGGAGAGUACCGGUUACAGAAUGGUAACCUUCAGUUCGGCUGGCUUUCGCACAGGUGCUGCAUGGCU
Molecule: ribosomal RNA, 514 nt
Filed under: uncultured Acidimicrobiales bacterium
Lineage: Bacteria; Bacillati; Actinomycetota; Acidimicrobiia; Acidimicrobiales
Description: bacterial SSU rRNA
Rfam family: Bacterial small subunit ribosomal RNA
Source: RNAcentral